RNAcentral lists this ribosomal RNA (416 nucleotides) under uncultured microorganism. RNAcentral's name for it is "bacterial SSU rRNA". It matches the Rfam family "Bacterial small subunit ribosomal RNA", at positions 9 to 420 of the family's 1533-position model. The record is from RNAcentral.
GAGUUUGAUCGUGGCUCAGAUUGAACGCUGGCGGCAUGCCUUACACAUGCAAGUCGAACGGCAGCGUGAUCUAGCUUGCUAGAUUGAUGGCGAGUGGCGAACGGGUGAGUAAUACAUCGGGAACGUGCCCUGUAGUGGGGGAUAACUAGUCGAAAGAUUAGCUAAUACCGCAUACGACCUGAGGGUGAAAGUGGGGGACCGCAAGGCCUCAUGCUAUAGGAGCGGCCGAUGUCUGAUUAGCUAGUUGGUGGGGUAAAGGCCCACCAAGGCGACGAUCAGUAGCUGGUCUGAGAGGACGAUCAGCCACACUGGGACUGAGACACGGCCCAGACUCCUACGGGAGGCAGCAGUGGGGAAUUUUGGACAAUGGGCGAAAGCCUGAUCCAGCAAUGCCGCGUGUGUGAAGAAGGCCUCGG